RNAcentral lists this ribosomal RNA (478 nucleotides) under uncultured bacterium. Its description in RNAcentral is "partial 16S ribosomal RNA". It matches the Rfam family "Bacterial small subunit ribosomal RNA", at positions 29 to 507 of the family's 1533-position model. The record is from RNAcentral.
AUGAACGCUAGCGGGAGGCCUAACACAUGCAAGCCGAGCGGUAUUGUUUCUUCGGAAAUGAGAGAGCGGCGUACGGGUGCGUAACACGUGUGCAACCUGCCUUUAUCUGGGGGAUAGCCUUUCGAAAGGAAGAUUAAUACUCCAUAAUAUAUUGAACGGCAUCGUUUAAUAUUGAAAGCUCCGGCGGAUAGAGAUGGGCACGCGCAAGAUUAGCUAGUUGGCGAGGUAACGGCUCACCAAGGCGAUGAUCUUUAGGGGGCCUGAGAGGGUGAUCCCCCACACUGGUACUGAGACACGGACCAGACUCCUGCGGGAGGCAGCAGUGAGGAAUAUUGGUCAAUGGGUGCAAGCCUGAACCAGCCAUCCCGCGUGAAGGACGACUGCCCUAUGGGUUGUAAACUUCUUUUGUAUAGGGAUAAACCUACCCUCGAGAGGGUAGCUGAAGGUACUAUACGAAUAAGCACCGGCUAACUCCGUG